CAGUAGCCGCGGGAAUACGAAGGGUGCAAGCGUUACUCGGAAUUACUGGGCGUAAAGCGUGCGUAGGUGGUGGUUUAAGUCCGUUGUGAAAGCCCUGGGCUCAACCUGGGAAUCGCAGUGGAUACUGGGUCACUAGAGUGUGGUAGAGGAUAGUGGAAUUUCCGGUGUAGCAGUGAAAUGCGUAGAGAUCGGAAGGAACAUCUGUGGCGAAGGCGACUAUCUGGGCCAACACUGACACUGAGGCACGAAAGCGUGGGGAGCAAACAGGAUUAGAGACCCCGGUAGUCCCUGUCUCUUAUAC
Molecule: ribosomal RNA, 301 nt
Filed under: uncultured bacterium
Lineage: Bacteria
Description: partial 16S ribosomal RNA
Rfam family: Bacterial small subunit ribosomal RNA
Source: RNAcentral